This is a long non-coding RNA of Oryzias melastigma (Indian medaka), 1250 nucleotides long. RefSeq lists it as uncharacterized. NCBI's taxonomy places the organism in Eukaryota, Metazoa, Chordata, Actinopteri, Beloniformes, Adrianichthyidae. The record is from RefSeq and is a predicted model, not a curated record. The transcript has 3 exons.
UUCCAGGUUGAAUAAUAAAACAAAAAUUGAGAUUAACAACCUUUUAAAAUUAAAUUAUUGUUUUUUUAAGUCUAUUGUUUAUACUGAACAGAGGGAGUUUUCAAUUCAAUUCAUUUAAGUUUUUAGUUCUUAAUAGGCAUUUCAAAAGUCACUGUGGAGCAUUGACAACAACAAAACUACAAUAACCAAACAGGUAAACAAACAACUGUUUGUCAAUCAAAAUAGAAGCUUAAAAAAAGGAAAAACAUAUAAUAAAUGUAAAUGGGAGGUUUGUUCAAUAACAAACCCGUCAGUGCUGAAACAGCAUCAGGAAUGCAGACCUAAUGGUUACAUCACUCCGUGCACACAGACGCCUUACAUAACCCGAUUAUGUCAUUUCAAUCCAGCCUCACAAACUUCUCCCUCCUCAGGAACCUGGACAAGCAGGGGCGGGGUCUGUGUUUGGGUCAGGGGUCGAUUCCCACACUUGGUCCUUGUGUUCAGCGGGCUCACGGACUAGCAUCAGUGACUCAUCCUGGUCCGCCGCUUUAAUCUGGUUAAUCUGAGACCUUCCUGAACAGAGAGUGGACUGGACACGUCUGGACCGAGCGAGAAAGCCAAGAGCUUCAGCUCAAAGUGACUGAGUCAUUUUUGAUUCAGCUGAAAGGAAUUUGUGUGAAUUUCUCCUCUUUAUAAAAGCCUUGAGUCAGAGAUGCUUGAUUCUGUGCAUGUUUGAGCACCAUGACUCCUGAAUGUCUGCAGUUAUGCUGCCGUCAAACAAAAGCAGAGAUGUGAAGAACGGAGGCCUGAAGAUUAAUCAACAGGCGUAGCUUCCAUUGUGCUAAUCCUGUAAACUCCACCGGCUCUUUAUGUCACAGAAGUUCUCAUCUGUAGACAAAUUGCUGCAGGGCAAGUAUGGGAACACAAAUAAAAUGAAAGCCCGGAACACCACCGUAUAGCCCGCAGGAUUGAAUGAACUGCUGAGUCACCCUAGGAUUUGAUCAAGGUUGUCUCAUCGUCUCCAUGGUUUACUUCUGAUUAUCUCUAAGGCGCCACACUCUCACUUCCUCCUUGAGGCUGGGCUGAAAACAAAAGUAUAUGUUCACCAGGAAACCACCAGGAGGGUUGUUUUACAGUCAUUCCAUCGAUUGUCAUGCUAACACUGCAGCUCACUUUUUCACAUCUGUGAUUGAACUUCACUCCCUCUGGAUGUUAAAGGGUAUCCAAUUAGGGAGGUUGGAGGCUGACUCCGCCCACAGUCGAAAUUUGAA